Long non-coding RNA from Setaria italica (foxtail millet), 1730 nucleotides. RefSeq lists it as uncharacterized. The transcript is spliced from 3 exons. NCBI's taxonomy places the organism in Eukaryota, Viridiplantae, Streptophyta, Magnoliopsida, Poales, Poaceae. The record is from RefSeq and is a predicted model, not a curated record.
UCCGUCGUCUCCGCCUCCGACGACCUGGCAAGCACUUCGACGCCGUUACUCAGGGCAGCAUAGAUCACGUCGGCGGCGGCUUCUCCUCGUGACGAGGAGGAUCCGCGACCGCGGCUGUCGUCGUGGAGGUCGAGGUUGAAGACGACUGGACGGACCGUAUGCUGAGAUGGCCACUGACGGACCAGUCAGCAUGAUGUUACCCUGUUUCGAUAGAUGAAUGAAGAAAUUAAGUGGUUCACUUUCUCAGGACAGAGGUCAGGCAGUACCGAAGCGGUGGUUCAGCCGCCACCGCCAGAUCUGGCGGUGUCGGGAAGGAGGCGAGGCGCUCCUACCAUCCGAUGUGGGCGGCGACAUCGAGAUACCUCGUCGGCAAGCCGAGAGAUCUGGCGUCGUCGUUGGCACCUCGCGAGGCGUUGACGUUUGAACUGUGGCGGUCCGCGUUGGUCAUUUGGCGGCGACAACGACAGUAAACCGGCGACGGGAAGCUGCAGGUGUACACCGGCAGCCUGGGCGACGCUGAACCUGGACACCGGCAGCGGCAACAAUGGCCGUCGAUCGUGUUCGCGGGUCGUAGCUCGGUCAGCGCGGCGCCGGGCGAGACGGUAUCAGAGGUCUCCGCCACCAACGGAUCCGCGUGCUACGACCCCAGCUGCAUCAACAACGGCGGCGGUAAAGGCAGGCUCAAGAUAGCUUCACGUCGAGGGCGAGGGAGAUCGGGCCGUGCUUGAUUCGCUCGGCCAGGAGGACGCCGGGCACACACGGGAGCCCAGAUCCGUACCAGAUGGCGACGGAUCUCAUCCUGACAAAGCGGCGCCGGCCUCCACCGCGCUCUACCUGUUCCCCUCGUCCAGCAGCACGACGAGGGCCACCUUCGCGGCCAGCCUUGCCGACGCCGCCUCCCGCACCGCGGCUACCACCCCUGCCGGCACCUGUCUCGCCACCGCCUCCAUCUCCCCGCUCGACUGUCUGCAGCGCCGUCACCACCUCCCCUGCCUCGAAUUUCUCCUUUGCGCUCAGCUGCUUGUCUGCCGCCCGCGCUCCGCUCUUGGGAGACGGGCACGAUGCCUGGGUGCUCGAAGUCGCGAGACGCUCCGUCAACCUCCGCCAGAGCAUGAAUACGGGUGAGUCCUCCCUCCUCAUGCACCCCAUGCCAACAGAAUAAUGCAGUGCGGAAUCGAAUCCUUAUCUGAGAAAUGUUACUUUCGAAUGUAUUCAUUGCAAAGUAAUUUGAGCUCUAGUUUGUCCUCAGACAAUUCAUGCGUAUGUGAGCUUGUAGCAUCUUUGUUUCAUGCAUGCAUGUGUUGUUUAGCAGCAGUAACUAAUUAAGUACACUAACUAAGUACAUGAUCGUCAGAUUCUCAGUUUUGAGCUUCCUUCCCCACUAGAUCUUGUGUUCUUGUGGCUGAUCUCAUUGGAUCUUUUGUAUUUACAUGAUCGGCUCACCUUGCAUCUGUGGGUUCCUUUCCCGGUCGAGAGCGGAGAAAACUUGCUGAUGGAGUCUGCCAAGCAUCGAUCUCUCUCCCCGGUCCGUGCGACUGCAAAAAGGUGGUACAUGUGUGAUAAAUGCAAUAUACGUGGGCAGUACAAGUGAUAUUUUAAUGAUGUUUUGUCAUUCUAUAUUACAAGCUUGAUGGUUUUGUGAUUUUUUUGUCUGCCUAGUGCACAGCAUCCCCUUCUUGCAAGCUUGUGCUUUUAAUUUAUUAUUUAUAAUUUAUAUCUGUGUUCCUAUA